CGCUGGCGGCGUGCUUAACACAUGCAAGUCGAGCGAUGAAGUUCCUUCGGGAACGGAUUAGCGGCGAACGGGUGAGGAACACGUGAGGAAUCUGCCUUCUACUCUGGGAUAACUCCGGGAAACCGGGGCUAAUACUGGAUAUGAAACUUGGUGGCAUCACCGAGUUUGAAAAGUUUUUCGGUAGAAGAUGACCUCGCGGCCUAUCAGCUUGUUGGUGAGGUAAUGGCUCACCAAGGCGACGACGGGUAGCCGGCCUGAGAGGGCGACCGGCCACACUGGGACUGAGACACGGCCCAGACUCCUACGGGAGGCAGCAGUGGGGAAUAUUGGGCAAUGGAGGAAACUCUGACCCAGCGACGCCGCGUGCGGGAUGAAGGCCUUCGGGUUGUAAACCGCUUUCAGCAGGGAAGAAGCGAAAGUGACGGUACCUGCAGAAGAAGCACCGGCUAACUAUGUGCCAGCAGCCGCGGUAAUACAUAGGGUGCAAGCGUUGUCCGGAAUUAUUGGGCGUAGAGAGCUCGUAGGUGGUUCGUUACGUCGGAUGUGAAAAUCUGGGGCUCAACCCCAGACCUGCAUUCGAUACGGGCGAACUAGAGUGUGGUAGGGGAGACUGGAAUUCCUGGUGUAGCGGUGGAAUGCGCAGAUAUCAGGAGGAACACCAAUGGCGAAGGCAGGUCUCUGGGCCAUUACUGACACUGAGGAGCGAAAGCGUGGGGAGCGAACAGGAUUAGAUACCCUGGUAGUCCACGCCGUAAACGGUGGGCACUAGUUGUGGGAACCUUCCACGGUUUCUGCGACGCAGCUAACGCAUUAAGUGCCCCGCCUGGGG
Molecule: ribosomal RNA, 829 nt
Filed under: uncultured bacterium
Lineage: Bacteria
Description: bacterial SSU rRNA
Rfam family: Bacterial small subunit ribosomal RNA
Source: RNAcentral